Molecule: ribosomal RNA, 155 nt
Filed under: uncultured Clavulina
Lineage: Eukaryota; Fungi; Basidiomycota; Agaricomycetes; Cantharellales; Hydnaceae
Description: partial 28S ribosomal RNA
Rfam family: Eukaryotic large subunit ribosomal RNA
Source: RNAcentral
UUGACCUCGAAUCAGGUGGGACUACCCGCUGAACUUAAGCAUAUCAAUAAGCGGAGGAAAAGAAACUAACAAGGAUUCCCCUAGUAACGGCGAGUGAAGCGGGAAGAGCUCAAAUUUAAAAUCUGGCAAUCUUUGGUUGUCCGAAUUGUAAUCUA